This 471-nucleotide ribosomal RNA is filed under the name Streptomyces sp. Its description in RNAcentral is "bacterial SSU rRNA". It matches the Rfam family "Bacterial small subunit ribosomal RNA", at positions 387 to 868 of the family's 1533-position model. Lineage: Bacteria; Bacillati; Actinomycetota; Actinomycetes; Kitasatosporales; Streptomycetaceae. The record is from RNAcentral.
UGCAGCGACGCCGCGUGAGGGAUGACGGCCUUCGGGUUGUAAACCUCUUUCAGCAGGGAAGAAGCGAAAGUGACGGUACCUGCAGAAGAAGCGCCGGCUAACUACGUGCCAGCAGCCGCGGUAAUACGUAGGGCGCGAGCGUUGUCCGGAAUUAUUGGGCGUAAAGAGCUCGUAGGCGGCUUGUCACGUCGGUUGUGAAAGCCCGGGGCUUAACCCCGGGUCUGCAGUCGAUACGGGCAGGCUAGAGUUCGGUAGGGGAGAUCGGAAUUCCUGGUGUAGCGGUGAAAUGCGCAGAUAUCAGGAGGAACACCGGUGGCGAAGGCGGAUCUCUGGGCCGAUACUGACGCUGAGGAGCGAAAGCGUGGGGAGCGAACAGGAUUAGAUACCCUGGUAGUCCACGCCGUAAACGGUGGGCACUAGGUGUGGGCGACAUUCCACGUCGUCCGUGCCGCAGCUAACGCAUUAAGUGCC